GACGAACCGUGCGAACGUUGUUCGGAAUCACUGGGCUUAAAGGGCGCGUAGGCGGACCUCCAAGUCCGGGGUGAAAUCUUUCGGCUUAACCGGAAAAGUGCCUUGGAUACUGGGGGUCUCGAGGGAGGCAGGGGCGGAUGGAACUUCCGGUGGAGCGGUGAAAUGCGUUGAUAUCGGAAGGAACGCCGGUGGCGAAAGCGAUCCGCUGGACCUCUUCUGACGCUGAGGCGCGAAAGCCAGGGGAGCAAACGGGG
Molecule: ribosomal RNA, 254 nt
Filed under: uncultured bacterium
Lineage: Bacteria
Description: partial 16S ribosomal RNA
Rfam family: Bacterial small subunit ribosomal RNA
Source: RNAcentral